AUGGGGAUGCCACACACAAACUCAAGGAAGGGGAAUGCCUUUAUAAGACUUGAGUAUGGGAGAUGCCCUAAACAAAGUCACUGAAGGAAGAUGUCCUAAACAAACUAGAGAAAGGAAGAUGUCCUAAAUAAACUCCAAGAGGGUAUACCAUAAACCAACUCAAGGGGUAGGGAGACGUUAUAAAAAACUAAUGAAAGGGGGAUGUGUUAAUAACAGUGAUGGAAAGCAGUUGUCAUAGUAGACAAACUCCAAGAAAGGGGAUUCCCUAGACAAACUCAAUGAAGGGAGAUGUGCCAAAAAUAUAUAGAAAAUGGGAGGUGUUGAACAAACUACAGGAGGUGCAUGCCCUAUAAAACUUAAGAAAGUGGGGGUGCACUAAAUCAACUAUUGAAAGGGGGAUGCCCUAAACAAACUUAAGGAAAGGGGAUGCUCUACACAAAGUCCAAGAAAGGGAAUGAACUAAACAAUCUCCAUGAAGAGGGUUGACCUAAGAAACUCAAGAAAGGGAGAUGCCCUAAUGUAACUCAAGGGAGGGUGAUGCACUAAAGAAACUCAAGGAAUGGGGAUGCCCUAAACAAACUAAAGGAAUGGGAAUACCCUAAACAAAUUCAUGGAAUGACAAUACUUUAAACAAACUAAAGGAAAGGAGGGUGUCCAAAAGAAAAUCAAGGAAGGGAUUCCCC
Molecule: long non-coding RNA, 683 nt
Filed under: Vitis vinifera (wine grape)
Lineage: Eukaryota; Viridiplantae; Streptophyta; Magnoliopsida; Vitales; Vitaceae
Description: long non-coding RNA (VVIN_LNC007554)
Source: RNAcentral